CUACGGGUCGCUCCAGUAAGGAAUAUUGCGCAAUGGAGGCAACUCUGACGCAGCCAUGCCGCGUGCAGGAAGAAGGCCUUAUGGGUCGUAAACUGCUUUUAUUUAGGAAUAAACCCCCGAACGUGUUCGGGGCUGAAGGUACUAAACGAAUAAGCACCGGCUAACUCCGUGCCAGCAGCCGCGGUAAUACGGAGGGUGCAAGCGUUAUCCGGAUUUAUUGGGUUUCAAGGGUGCGCAGGCGGGCUAUUAAGUCAGUGGUGAAAUCCCGGGGCUCAACUCCGGAACUGCCAUUGAUACUGAUAGUCUUGAGUUUGGUUGAAGUGGGCGGAAUGUAGCAUGUAGCGGUGAAAUGCAUAGAUAUGCUACAGAACACCAAUCGCGAAGGCAGCUCACUAAGCCAAAACUGACGCUCAUGCACGAAAGCGUGGGGAUCAAACAGGAUUAGAUACCCUCGUAGUC
RNAcentral lists this ribosomal RNA (459 nucleotides) under uncultured bacterium. Its description in RNAcentral is "partial 16S ribosomal RNA". It matches the Rfam family "Bacterial small subunit ribosomal RNA", at positions 339 to 795 of the family's 1533-position model. The record is from RNAcentral.